This 468-nucleotide ribosomal RNA is filed under the name uncultured bacterium. Its description in RNAcentral is "partial 16S ribosomal RNA". It matches the Rfam family "Bacterial small subunit ribosomal RNA", at positions 28 to 507 of the family's 1533-position model. The record is from RNAcentral.
GACGAACGCUGGCGGCGUGCUUAACACAUGCAAGUCGAACGGAAAGGCCCUGCUUUUGUGGGGUGCUCGAGUGGCGAACGGGUGAGUAACACGUGAGUAACCUGCCCUUGACUUUGGGAUAACUUCAGGAAACUGGGGCUAAUACCGGAUAUGAGCUCCUGCUGCAUGGUGGGGGUUGGAAAGUUUCGGCGGUUGGGGAUGGACUCGCGGCUUAUCAGCUUGUUGGUGGGGUAGUGGCUUACCAAGGCUUUGACGGGUAGCCGGCCUGAGAGGGUGACCGGCCACAUUGGGACUGAGAUACGGCCCAGACUCCUACGGGAGGCAGCAGUGGGGAAUAUUGAACAAUGGGCGGAAGCCUGAUGCAGCAACGCCGAGUGCGGGAUGACGGCCUUCGGGUUGUAAACCGCUUUCGCCUGUGACGAAGCGUGAGUGACGGUAAUGGGUAAAGAAGCACCGGCUAACUACGUG